AUGGUAACUUCCUCUGAGGUUACGGUGAGCAGGGCAGGAAUUGAUCAGCGUAAAGCACUCAGAAGAGGGCCGCACAGAGGAAGUGCACGCUCAGUGCUGGGCCGUGGAGUUUGCGAUGUCACCCCGGCGGCCGGUGGGGGCGGGCCUCCGUGUGCAGUGGGGUUUCAGGGCACGGAGAGUGUGAGGGAGGAACGGCGUCCAUUGAGCACCCACUCUGUGGCCUGCACCUCUGUGGCAGUUGGCAAUCUGCAUCUGGCCCUCAGGACCACCCGGCAAGGCCCUGCGUCUUCCCAGGU
This 296-nucleotide long non-coding RNA is filed under the name Zalophus californianus (California sea lion). RNAcentral describes it as "lncRNA (ENSZCAG00015013934.1)". The record is from RNAcentral. Lineage: Eukaryota; Metazoa; Chordata; Mammalia; Carnivora; Otariidae.